This 243-nucleotide long non-coding RNA is filed under the name Sorghum bicolor (sorghum). RNAcentral describes it as "long non-coding RNA (SBIC_LNC002232)". Lineage: Eukaryota; Viridiplantae; Streptophyta; Magnoliopsida; Poales; Poaceae. The record is from RNAcentral.
GAACCGCCCCUACAAUUAAUUUUUAGAAAAAAAAAUAAAAAUUAGAAUAAUAAAAUUGACAGCCAACACAACACACACAUAUAUAUAUAUAUAUAUAUAUAUAUAUAUAUAUUCACAGCAUGUCUAUUUCUAAUCUAACCACAUCACCACAUUUACAAUUCCAUCCAAAAGUCUGAUAUGUUUCCAAGUCUAUUACAAAUUCAUCACAGUCCAUUAGCACAAGUUCACACGUAAUCAAUGACC